CCACCUUUCCAGCAAUCAUAACAUCCGUAGCCCUCAUCAAACCAUCAGGAAGAGAGUGACGGCAUCCAUACAAGUUGUCAAACUGUUACAAAACCAUAGAUCAAAUGGCAAACAGAAACUUCAUUAGAUCAAAACAUGCUACGGUACCCCAAAAUACAAGAACCAAAUUCACAUCAUCGUAGUUUAAAACAACCACAAACACCUAACUUUGUUAAAUCCAAGAUCAAACUAUGCUAUAGUACCAAAAUUACAACCAAAUUCACAUCAUAGUUAACUACAACCACACAAACGUAUCUUACAGAAAGUAAAUGACAUAUCCAUUUAUCAAAUCUAAUAUCUACACCCAAGCUAUAUCAUUUGAACACAAUUACCCAUACCAAACUUCAUUCAGGACAUUUAUCAAACAAUAGGCAGAUCCAAAACGAAAUAAUAAAUUUCACACUACACAUAACUCAUUCUCACAAAACUCCUUUCAACACAUUCAUCAAAUAGUUAGCAGAUCCAAAACCAAACACUCAAUUUCACACACUCAACCUCACUAACAUACAACAACACAAGUCAGAUCUGAAUCAACACAACCCCAGAUUAUUAAAUAUUAAAAAGUAAACGAAAAUAAGCAGAUCUAGGUUUUGAAAAAACAAACCUUGCUCUUGGUAACAGAGUCAUUGACAUUAAUAGCAGGGAACAAAAGAGUUCCACUAGCUUGCAUCUGAUAAAGCCUCUUAACACCAGUAGUAGUCUCUUCAGAAACACCAACAAGUCUAUCCUUCAUCUUACGAUACCUCUUAGGAUCAGUCUUCAACCCAUCUCUAAUGAUAGUAAGCACAAGCUGAAACUCAGCGUUAUCAGUAGAACUUGGAUCAGGAACCUCACCAGUUUUCUCAUAAAGCUCUUCAGCCUUAACA
RNAcentral lists this long non-coding RNA (905 nucleotides) under Medicago truncatula (barrel medic). RNAcentral describes it as "long non-coding RNA (MTRU_LNC006520)". Lineage: Eukaryota; Viridiplantae; Streptophyta; Magnoliopsida; Fabales; Fabaceae. The record is from RNAcentral.